CCUGGAUUCAGCGGCGGACGGGUGAGUAAUGCCUAGGAAUCUGCCUGGUAGUGGGGGAUAACGUCCGGAAACGGGCGCUAAUACCGCAUACGUCCUGAGGGAGAAAGUGGGGGAUCUUCGGACCUCACGCUAUCAGAUGAGCCUAGGUCGGAUUAGCUAGUUGGUGGGGUAAAGGCCUACCAAGGCGACGAUCCGUAACUGGUCUGAGAGGAUGAUCAGUCACACUGGAACUGAGACAUGGUCCAGACUCCUACGGGAGGCAGCAGUGGGGAAUAUUGGACAACGGGCGAAAGCCUGAUCCAGCCAUGCCGCGUGUGUGAAGAAGGUCUUCGGAUUGUAAAGCACUUUAAGUUGGGAGGAAGGGCAGUAAGUUAAUACCUUGCUGUUUUGACGUUACCAACAGAAUAAGCACCGGCUAACUUCGUGCCAGCGGCCGCGGUAAUACGAAGGGUGCAAGCGUUAAUCGGAAUUACUGGGCGUAAAGCGCGCGUAGGUGGUUCAGCAAGUUGGAUGUGAAAUCCCCGGGCUCAACCUGGGAACUGCAUCCAAAACUACUGAGCUAGAGUACGGUAGAGGGUGGUGGAAUUUCCUGUGUAGCGGUGAAAUGCGUAGAUAUAGGAAGGAACACCAGUGGCGAAGGCGACCACCCGGACUGAUACUGACACUGAGGUGCGAAAGCGUGGGGAGCAAACAGGAUUAGAUAUCCUGGUAGUCCACGCCGUAAACGAUGUCGACUAGCCGUUGGGAUCCUUGAGAUCUUAGUG
This 764-nucleotide ribosomal RNA is filed under the name uncultured Pseudomonadaceae bacterium. RNAcentral's name for it is "SSU rRNA". It matches the Rfam family "Bacterial small subunit ribosomal RNA", at positions 85 to 845 of the family's 1533-position model. The record is from RNAcentral. Lineage: Bacteria; Pseudomonadati; Pseudomonadota; Gammaproteobacteria; Pseudomonadales; Pseudomonadaceae.